Saccoglossus kowalevskii is the source of this 303-nucleotide long non-coding RNA. The record is from RefSeq and is a predicted model, not a curated record. Lineage: Eukaryota; Metazoa; Hemichordata; Enteropneusta; Harrimaniidae.
GUGUUCCUUGUAAAACAGAUAUGUCGUAGAUAUGGCAUUGACUGUUUGCACGGUCUGCUGACGAAUCCAAAUCUGAAGUGGAUUGCCCCUCCAGAAGCUCAACAACAGGUUGAAGUUAUACCUGACCGUUUUGUCACUUGUGGAAAAGUGUAUCAAGAUUUACGAGAAGCUAUGGCAACGGCUUUGCUGGAUGGACGAUUUGAGAAAGUGAAAGAAAUCAUCAAGAGAUGCACAAAGAAAAGAGAAUACAAGGAAGCCUUACUCAUGUUGGCUAUCUACAGAGAAUUCACCAUGAGUUACGCC